This 245-nucleotide ribosomal RNA is filed under the name uncultured Nitriliruptor sp. RNAcentral's name for it is "partial 16S ribosomal RNA". It matches the Rfam family "Bacterial small subunit ribosomal RNA", at positions 524 to 768 of the family's 1533-position model. Lineage: Bacteria; Bacillati; Actinomycetota; Nitriliruptoria; Nitriliruptorales; Nitriliruptoraceae. The record is from RNAcentral.
UACGUAGGGUCCGAGCGUUGUCCGGAAUCAUUGGGCGUAAAGCGCAUGUAGGCGGCCCUCUAAGUCGGAUGUGAAAUCCCGAGGCUCAACUUCGGAACUGCAUCCGAUACUGGGGGGCUUGAGGAAGGUAGAGGAGAGUGGAAUUCCCGGUGUAGCGGUGGAAUGCGCAGAUAUCGGGAGGAACACCAGCGGCGAAGGCGGCUCUCUGGGCCUCUCCUGACGCUGAGAUGCGAAAGCGUGGGUAG